UUGAACUUCUUGUUAGAUUUCAAGUCUGUAUUUUGUGUCCGUGACAAUUUGUCGAGACUACACUAACUUGAGAUAUCAGAGCUAGUUCUUUCUUAGUAGAGUGUGGAUUACCCCUCUACUUGAAGGUAUACUAGUAUUUUUUAGAGGUUGCGGAUUACCCUCCUCUAAACUGAUACUUCUUCUGUUACAAUAUUGGAGUCUUAUUCUUCUUGGAGAGAGUGGAUUACCCCUCUUCUUGAAAUUCUUAAG
Molecule: long non-coding RNA, 249 nt
Filed under: Physcomitrium patens
Lineage: Eukaryota; Viridiplantae; Streptophyta; Bryopsida; Funariales; Funariaceae
Description: long non-coding RNA (PPAT_LNC010793)
Source: RNAcentral